GCCGGGGUAGCUCAAUGGUAGAGCAGCCGCUUCGUAAGCGGCAGGUCGUGGGUUCGAGUCCCGUCCCCGGCU
RNAcentral lists this transfer RNA (72 nucleotides) under Elusimicrobiota bacterium. RNAcentral describes it as "Elusimicrobia bacterium (groundwater metagenome) tRNA-Thr". It matches the Rfam family "tRNA". From Rfam's summary of the family: Transfer RNA (tRNA) molecules are approximately 80 nucleotides in length. Their secondary structure includes four short double-helical elements and three loops (D, anti-codon, and T loops). Lineage: Bacteria; Pseudomonadati; Elusimicrobiota. The record is from RNAcentral.